Salvia splendens (bonfire salvia) is the source of this 1084-nucleotide RNA transcript. It is a transcript of the gene named DNL-type zinc finger protein-like, with no coding region annotated. The record is from RefSeq and is a predicted model, not a curated record. Lineage: Eukaryota; Viridiplantae; Streptophyta; Magnoliopsida; Lamiales; Lamiaceae. The transcript is spliced from 4 exons.
CAGUCAUGAAUUGAAGAACUCUACUGACAUAGGAACAACGAAACUGAAGCUUCUGUUCAUCUUCUUCUGCGGUUGAAGAUGGGAGCUGUUAGAAGCUUCAAAUAUCUCGGAUUUGAUAAUUAUCUGCCGUUUAUUGCCAAGCCCCCUAAAAUUUCUCUUCCAUUUUCUCAAUUAUUCAGACCUAAUUUUGGUGUCAAAUAUGGAAAUUUUACAAUUUCCAGAUCGUCUUCGGACGCCGUUCGUAGUGUUAGGAGGUCUAGGGUUUCUCACCGAGGAAUUAAGGGGGCGGAGCAUUGUUUUAGUGCGCCGAGAUGGUAGAUGGUAAUGGAGAAUUCAAAGAAAUUGAGCAGUCCCCUUCAAUGGAUUGCCAGCAGGAAGGUGUUAUUGACUUGAAGCUCCCAAGAAGACGUUUGGUAGUAAGUUUUACAUGUGAUGGCUGUGGUGUGCGGUCACAGAGGUUAAUCAAUAGACUAGCUUAUGAACGUGGGCUUGUUUAUGUGCAGGUAAUUUAUGGAUGUAGUAUCUCUCUCUAAAGCAUGACUAGUGCUUGUAUCCCUAGUCAAUUUGAAUUUAAUUAGUUAGCACUGGUCUUCCCCGUGGUCAUUUCAGCUAAGGCCUGUAUCUUCAACUAGUUCACAACACAGUACAAAACCUAUACCUUUUUGAGCUAGCAAAAUAAGAAUAAUAUUUCAAGUAGAUUAGUAAACUUUCAACAACUUAUGAUGCUAUAAAAUUUAUUGAAACUGUUUAUUGUUGGUUAAGGACUUCUCUGCUCGAAGAAACGAUUAGGUGAAUUAGAAUGAAAACAAGGGAUGCCCAUCUUAUACAACUAUAUAAUAAUCUAAUGAAUCGACAGGAAGAUAUUCAAUAUUAAUUCAAUCCAGCAAGCUGCAGUACUCAAGAAUUGGUCUAACACAAAUCAAAUAAACAUUUUCUCGACUGUGUCAGUGUUCAGGAUGUUCUCAGUACCACAAGCUUGUCGACAACCUUGGACUUGUUAUCGAGUACAACCGGCAGGAGGAAAUUGAUUUAGAUGCAACAAGUCUGGAAAGCUUUUGAUUUGUAGGCAUUUCAAUUUUCGAGG